RNAcentral lists this long non-coding RNA (317 nucleotides) under Mus spicilegus (steppe mouse). RNAcentral describes it as "lncRNA (ENSMSIG00000028795.1)". The record is from RNAcentral. Lineage: Eukaryota; Metazoa; Chordata; Mammalia; Rodentia; Muridae.
AUCAGAAUAAAGAACUAAGAUUAGACAGUGUCGUUCUCUCAAUAAUCAGAGACUGACAACAAAUUGAAGAAUCUGACUAUUCUCUGAAAUGCCAAGGGUUGCAUGUAACUACGUAGCCCUGAGUCUUCCAGAAGAACCAGAUCUGUCUUGAAGGGUUUUGGCUUUUUGCACUGAAUGUAACCAAGACUGAUCGUCUCAGUUGCCCCAGGAUACUGUCAGAGGGUUUCCUAGGUGUAAGCCCACAGCUUCUGAGUACGGCAGUAUAUUGUGGCAAUAGUGCAUAUCAGAACAAAACUGUUUACCUGUGUUAGUAAAAG